GGACGGGUGAGUAAUGUCUGGGGAUCUGCCCGAUAGAGGGGGAUAACCACUGGAAACGGUGGCUAAUACCGCAUAACGUCGCAAGACCAAAGAGGGGGACCUUCGGGCCUCUCACUAUCGGAUGAACCCAGAUGGGAUUAGCUAGUAGGCGGGGUAAUGGCCCACCUAGGCGACGAUCCCUAGCUGGUCUGAGAGGAUGACCAGCCACACUGGAACUGAGACACGGUCCAGACUCCUACGGGAGGCAGCASWGGGGAAUAUUGCACAAUGGGCGCAAGCCUGAUGCAGCCAUGCCGCGUGUAUGAAGAAGRCCUUCGGGUUGUAAAGUACUUUCAGCGGGGAGGAAGGCGABRSGGUUAAUAACCCCGUCGAUUGACGUUACCCGCAGAAGAAGCACCGGCUAACUCCGUGCCAGCASCCGCGGUAAUACGGAGGGUGCAAGCGUUAAUCGGAAUUACUGGGCGUAAAGCGCACGCAGGCGGUCUGUUAAGUCAGAUGUGAAAUCCCCGGGCUUAACCUGGGAACUGCAUUUGAAACUGGCAGGCUUGAGUCUUGUAGAGGGGGGUAGAAUUCCAGGUGUAGCGGUGAAAUGCGUAGAGAUCUGGAGGAAUACCGGUGGCGAAGGCGCCCCCUGGACAAAGACUGACGCUCAGGUGCGAAAGCGUGGGGAGCAAACAGGAUUAGAUACCCUGGUAGUCCACGCCGUAAACGAUGUCGACUUGGAGGUUGUUCCCUUGAGGAGUGGCUUCCGGAGCUAACGCGUUAAGUCGACCGCCUGGGGAGUACGGCCGCAAGGUUAAAACUCAAAUGAAUUGACGGGGGCCCGCACAAGCGGUGGAGCAUGUGGUUUAAUUCGAUGCAACGCGAAGAACCUUACCUACUCUUGACAUCCACGGAAUUUGGCAGAGAUGCCUUAGUGCCUUCGGGAACCGUGAGACAGGUGCUGCAUGGCUGUCGUCAGCUCGUGUUGUGAAAUGUUGGGUUAAGUCCCGCAACGAGCGCAACCCUUAUCCUUUGUUGCCAGCGAUUCGGUCGGGAACUCAAAGGAGACUGCCGGUGAUAAACCGGAGGAAGGUGGGGAUGACGUCAAGUCAUCAUGGCCCUUACGAGUAGGGCUACACACGUGCUACAAUGGCGCAUACAAAGAGAAGCGACCUCGCGAGAGCAAGCGGACCUCACAAAGUGCGUCGUAGUCCGGAUCGGAGUCUGCAACUCGACUCCGUGAAGUCGGAAUCGCUAGUAAUCGUGGAUCAGAAUGCCACGGUGAAUACGUUCCCGGGCCUUGUACACACCGCCCGUCRCRCCAUGGGAGUGGGUUGCAAAAGAAGUAGGUAGCUUAACCUUCGGGAGGGCGCUUAC
Molecule: ribosomal RNA, 1359 nt
Filed under: Pantoea agglomerans
Lineage: Bacteria; Pseudomonadati; Pseudomonadota; Gammaproteobacteria; Enterobacterales; Erwiniaceae
Description: 16S ribosomal RNA
Rfam family: Bacterial small subunit ribosomal RNA
Source: RNAcentral